Molecule: ribosomal RNA, 253 nt
Filed under: uncultured bacterium
Lineage: Bacteria
Description: partial 16S ribosomal RNA
Rfam family: Bacterial small subunit ribosomal RNA
Source: RNAcentral
GACGUAGGGCGCGAGCGUUGUCCGGAUUUAUUGGGCGUAAAGAGCUCGUAGGCGGUUUGUCGCGUCGUUCGUGAAAACUCACAGCUUAACUGUGAGCUUGCGGUCGAUACGGGCAGGCUAGAGUUCGGUAGGGGAGACUGGAAUUCCUGGUGUAGCGGUGAAAUGCGCAGAUAUCAGGAGGAACACCGGUGGCGAAGGCGGCAUCCUGGACCGACACUGACGCUGAGGAGCGAAAGCCAGGGGAGCAAACGGG